GAUGAACGCUGGCGGCGUGCCUAACACAUGCAAGUCGAACGGAGCGCCUUUUAAGAUUCUUCGGAUGAUUGAUCGGUGACUGAGUGGCGGACGGGUGAGUAACGCGUGGGUAACCUGCCCUGUACAGGGGGAUAACAGUUGGAAACAGCUGCUAAUACCGCAUAAGAGCACGAGAGGACAUCCUCUUGUGUGAAAAACUCCGGUGGUACAGGAUGGGCCCGCGUCUGAUUAGCUGGUUGGCAGGGUAACGGCCUACCAAGGCGACGAUCAGUAGCCGGUCUGAGAGGAUGAACGGCCACAUUGGAACUGAGACACGGUCCAAACUCCUACGGGAGGCAGCAGUGGGGAAUAUUGCACAAUGGGGGAAACCCUGAUGCAGCAACGCCGCGUGAGUGAAGAAGUAUUUCGGUAUGUAAAGCUCUAUCAGCAGGGAAGAUAAUGACGGUACCUGACUAAGAAGCUCCGGCUAAAUACGUGCCAGCCGCCGCGGUAA
RNAcentral lists this ribosomal RNA (493 nucleotides) under uncultured bacterium. RNAcentral's name for it is "partial 16S ribosomal RNA". It matches the Rfam family "Bacterial small subunit ribosomal RNA", at positions 28 to 523 of the family's 1533-position model. The record is from RNAcentral.